GUGAAGGUGUGAAGGAACAGUUUAUCAGUGUUUGGUGCACCACCUGGGUGCAGAGAGCUGACUCUUUUAUGCACAUUAAAAGUUUCAGAUAAAAGGACCCCUGAUUACUUACUCAUUGCUACAUCUCUCUAAACAUAGUUAAAUUGUGUCUCUCUAUUUAUUACAAGCAAAGGGAUCUGUUCAGAAAUCCCUUCCAUAUCAGACCACUAGUGAAACCAAAAGAGAGAAUCACGCCUGCUGUUGUGCAAGUCAGUAACCCCAGACAGGCUCCAGACAUGCAAAGUCUUGGGGAAGCCACCUCCUGUGGAUGAUAAGGUCUGGGCCUCUGCUGCACCCAUCAUCUCAGCCACUACAAAAAUGCAACCUCACCAUGUAACAUCAGAGGACCAAAAGCAAAGAAUAACUGUCAUUGGCAGAAUUCUCCCAUACUUUCGUCAAAUACUCAUCACUGUUAAAAUACUUCACCAUUGUCCCGGUGUUUUUAUUUCCAUAGCUCUUCGUGGAUAUUCACAAAGGCGGUGGAGGCUGCGGUGAGGACAGAACAUAAAGCAGAUCUACAGAUGCACAGAGCUCCCUUUCAGAAGCCUUUCAUCUAUCAUAUGAUACUUUCUGGUUAAGUGAUCACCUCUGAUUUGUUGAAUCAGAGUCUUAAUCAUGUCCUUGGCAUCAAGCAAAGGAACUGCUAGCAAUAUUAACAGGGUUAUUCAGGACUGGGGGUGGAAGUCCCCGCUGUUUAAAGCAAGAGUUAGACAGUAUUACCACAUGAUCCCCUCACUCAGACUCUUUGAAGUGUUAUGAAAACAUUUUUAAAGCAAUAUUUGCCACAGGGUAGUCACUCACAUUAUAUCAGUCUUACCCCUCCUCUUUUCAUCUGUGAGCACCUCAUUACCAGUGGAUAAUACUGAUGCUGAAAUACCACUUUCCCUUGGGAACAAAACAAUAACUGUGUGUGUCAUUCGAGAAGGAUCUGCUUGGGCCUUUAUGUGCAGCAAUGCAUGGUUAUAAAGCACUUUUGACAGAAAUGUUUGAUUUUGUCGUGUUCUCAGGUCAAGAAAUACCGGUACAACGUGUGAUCAUUUGUUUCCAGUCAGGGCUCUUGAAUGCACAUUUGUUUGCACAAAAAGCAAACAUAUCUGCUCACUAAGGCAGAAAAUAAAAUAAAGAUGCCAGUAACUGCAACAACAGUACUGCUACUAUUACUACAUCUCCAUUUGUCCAGAGACAACAAUGAGUAUUUAUUCCAUGAAAUUAAUGACUUGGCUCUGUAUUUUCCUUUCUCUAGAAUAAGAAUUAACAGGGCUUACGUUGUGAUGUGCUUUAUCAGAACAUGACCUCUUCAAAUCAGCUCAAGAAGUCAAAAUUUGGGCUUGGCAAAUGAUAUCAUUAGUGGAACGGAGGAGAAAAAACAUGACUAAGAGCUACAGAGUGAGUUUCAGUAAAAUACGAAGGGAACAUCCAGAUACAAAUGCAGUCCAAGCCUAUUUUCAAAACGGAGAUACUCUUCCACAAGAGAACGGGACUUUUCAUGCUGUCCCCUGUCCUGGCUCCAUCUCCCAGAACACACGCAAAACAGCCUCCAAAGGACACUGUCCAACACAUCCAAGCCAAAAGGGUGAAGGUCACCCACUGAGGCAACCAAAGGAGGAUAAUGGCAGAGUGGAACAAUCUGAACCCAAGGUAUUUUUAAACUUUAU
Molecule: long non-coding RNA, 1694 nt
Organism: Gallus gallus (chicken)
Lineage: Eukaryota; Metazoa; Chordata; Aves; Galliformes; Phasianidae
Source: Ensembl